This 524-nucleotide ribosomal RNA is filed under the name uncultured bacterium. RNAcentral's name for it is "partial 16S ribosomal RNA". It matches the Rfam family "Bacterial small subunit ribosomal RNA", at positions 899 to 1397 of the family's 1533-position model. The record is from RNAcentral.
ACUCAAAUGAAUUGACGGAAGUUUGUACAAGCGGUGGAGCAUCUGGUUUAAUGCGAGAUAACGCGCAGAACCUUACCAGUUUUUGAAUAUUAGUAAUUUUUUUUGAAUGAAAAAAAAUAUCAAAAUUUUGUUUUAUAUGUUGAUAGGACUAAUACAGGUGCUGCAUGGCUGUCGUCAGCUCGUGUAGUGAUAUGGUUGGUUAACUCCUUUAACGAGCGCAACCCUUACUUUUAGUUUUAAAAAUUGAAUAGAAUUUUAAUUUUAAUAUUAAAAGAACUGCCUUUUAACUAAUUGAGGAAGGUGAGGAUAAUGUCAAGCCAAGAUGGCCCGAAUAGACUGGGCUACACAGGUGCUACAAUGGUAAUUACAAAAAGAAGCACUAACGUGAGUUGAAGCAAAUCUUUAAAAAUUAUCUUAGUUCAGAUUGUUGUCUGCAACUCGAGAGCAUGAAGGAGGAAUCGCUAGUAAUCGUGAAUCAGCACGUCACGGUGAAUCGUAACCCAAACUUAGUACACACCGCCCGU